This 1996-nucleotide small RNA is filed under the name Histoplasma capsulatum var. duboisii H88. RNAcentral's name for it is "Histoplasma capsulatum H88 hypothetical RNA". Lineage: Eukaryota; Fungi; Ascomycota; Eurotiomycetes; Onygenales; Ajellomycetaceae. The record is from RNAcentral.
CACUCCAUCUGGACAGCCACCUUCGGCCUUUCAAUUCCGACUUGGUGGCUGUAAAGGCAUCCUCGCAGUUUCUUCGGAUGCCCAUGGACAAGAGGUGCAUAUCCGAAAAAGUCAAUACAAGUUUGCGGCUGCACAUCAUGGGCUUGAAAUAAUCAGGCAUUCUCAUUUCUCGUUGGCGACUCUAAACCGCCAGCUCAUUCUUGUUUUGUCUUGUCUGGGUGUUCCUGACAAAGUUUUUAUCGCCAAACUCCGCAUGAUGAUGGAUAAGUUAGAGCAGGCCAUGACUAACGAGGAGCAGGCUGUCCAUCUUCUGCAAACACAUGUUGACCCGAACCAGAUGACCUUGAUUCUCGCGGAUAUGGUACGCGACGGAUUCCAGGGAUCGAAAGAGCCAUUUGUCUCAUCGCUUCUUGAAUUAUGGCGUACGUGGCAAAUAAAAUAUCUCAAGGAAAAGGCCAAAAUCGCGGUAGAUGAGGGAGCUUUCCUUUUGGGCUGCAUCGAUGAAACCAAAACUCUGAAAGGAUACUUCCGCAGUUCACGGCCAGGACAAGACGCAACAUACGAGGAGAGGGUGGCAUGUCUACCUGAAAUAUUUGUUCAAGUCUGGCGACAUAGUGAAGGUAAAUAUGUUAUCAUUGAGGGUGUUUGCAUUCUUGCUCGAAAUCCGUCUCUUCACCCGGGUGAUAUACGUGUUGUCAAGGCAGUCAAUGCGCCUUCGCUGCAUCAUCUUAGGGACGUUGUUGUCCUCCCACAAACUGGGGAUCGAGACAUCUCAAGCAUGUGUUCCGGGGGUGAUCUGGAUGGUGAUGACUAUGUUGUGAUCUGGGACCAGGAUAUAUUACCGACGGACUGGUUUCAUGACCCAAUGGACUAUGCCGCACCGAAGCCUGAAGUUCUGGAUCGCGACGUCACUGUUGACGAUAUCACCAAGUUCUAUGUAAACUAUAUGCAGAACGACCGUCUUCCACAAAUUGCUCUUGCACACCUGGCCUUGGCAGAUUAUAUGGAAGAGGGAGUUAAGAACGAGAAAUGCCUUCAACUCGCUGCCCUGCAUUCCGCAGCGGUUGAUUACAAUAAAUCAGGAAUACCAGUUAAACUGACGCGAAAUUUGAAACCAAGGAGGUGGCCUCACUUCAUGGAAAGGAAAAUGAGAAACAAAUACGCGGAGUAUGUUUCUCAAAAAAUUCUCGGACAAUUGUACGACAUGGCUAGCCACAUAGAUGUGCACUCAAAGCCACCGUCUUGGUCUCCUGUAGAAAGCCCAAAGUUCGACAAACGGAUUUUAAACUCAGGUAUCGAAGUUGAUGAAGAAUUGUUAAGCUUUGCAACUAACCUCAAAACACAAUACGAUGCGGAUAUGCGGCGGAUCAUGGCCCAACAUGAAAUCAAGACCGAACUCGAAGUCUGGUCAACGUUUGUAUUAAGUCAUUCGGAAAUGAUUAAAGAUUACAAAUUCCAUGAAGACAUUGGUCGCAUAUCAUCCUCCCUACGAGAGAAGUUCCGCAUUAUGUGCCAUGAAAAAGCAGGGGGGAAGGAGUUUGAGCAUCUUGCGCCACUUGCCGUUGCGAUGUAUAAAGUGACCAGUGAACAGUGGGAGAUAGCUGUGGCUGUACAACACGAUGUUUUCAUUGAUAAUUCACAUUUUCAGGAGAGAAAGUUGCCCCUCAUCAGUUUCCCUUGGGUACUCCAGCCAAUUCUUGGUAGGAUCGCAAAUGAGUCUUUUGAAAAUCCAGUGACUCGCAGAGGGUGCCCCGCACACAUACAGGUUGAGAUUCCUCGCGGGUCCAAACCCAGAAAAAUUAUGGCCAGUCUUCUCUCCCCAGAUGUUGAAACUUCAGACGGCGUGAAGCAUGCUGGCAAUGUCUUGCAGCUCUUCGAAGACUCCAAACAGGACCCGAUUGACCGUCUAUGUAUAAUGUUUGACGAGACGGCAUCCUCGGUCCACCAGACAGAAAAUAUUACCCCACCGUUUAAUGGAACGAAGGGUGAAAUCACA